This is a long non-coding RNA of Papaver somniferum (opium poppy), 853 nucleotides long. RefSeq lists it as uncharacterized. Lineage: Eukaryota; Viridiplantae; Streptophyta; Magnoliopsida; Ranunculales; Papaveraceae. The record is from RefSeq and is a predicted model, not a curated record. The transcript has 3 exons.
AUCUGGUUUCAUUAUCUUAAUGAUUUUACUGAUUAGUGUAAUGAGUGUUAUACAAGAACCUUCAAUCCCAUAUUCCACUAUCAUUAGAUUAGCGCAUUAUGGUUUUUCCUCUCAAAUUUUAUUGUUUCUUUGCAUCUCAGUUCAUUUCUUUCUGAAGAAGAAGGAGAUCUCCAAGAUAUAUAGGUCUAGUCCAGCCUACAAGACAAUUUUUGCAAUAUAGCAGAGGAGACGCAUCGUGAAGAACAACAAAUUCAGACAUUUGUUGACAAGACUCAAGGACAUAGCUUUAUACUGAUGGCAUGAUGGACGAGUUCUCCUAUGAUGAACGCAAGAGACAGCUUGAAGGUUAAGGUUCAUUAAUCCGGUUCAUCCUCUAACCCACUUGCAUUUUCAAGUAGUUAUUAGCACACCAAUACAUGUCUUUGGGAAUGGUAUAGGUGUUAGUCCUAGUUACAAAUUGUAUCUACAAGUAAUACUGUUGCUCAUAUCAAAUCUAUCGUUAUGACGCAAAUGGCAAGGGGUGAUGAGUGGUAACAUAGGAGUUGAAAAAUAUAUAAUUGAGAGACACACUAUUUCGUCAACCAUUGCUUGCGCCCUGCAGAAGUUCUUGUAGCGCAAACCAUUUCGUCCACUAGAAACUAGUAACUAGAACAGAUCCACUAAGACAAACUCGUGGGCUAAUGAUGGGCCUCACGUUUACUAUAGCUUAAUUAUUAGGGUUUUGAUUCAAAAGACGACAUAUAAAUAGGGAGAGGCAGCGUAGUGUGUGUUGGGCGAGUGUCUCUCUUCCUUACCAGAAUUCUAAAUCUAGAUCUUGUCUUCAACUCUUCACUGUCCAAACUCCAUUCUACUG